CAGACCUGAGUGUGGCAGGACUACCCGC
This 28-nucleotide ribosomal RNA is filed under the name Trypanosoma rangeli. RNAcentral describes it as "partial 28S ribosomal RNA". Lineage: Eukaryota; Euglenozoa; Kinetoplastea; Trypanosomatida; Trypanosomatidae. The record is from RNAcentral.